This 363-nucleotide ribosomal RNA is filed under the name uncultured bacterium. RNAcentral describes it as "bacterial SSU rRNA". It matches the Rfam family "Bacterial small subunit ribosomal RNA", at positions 32 to 405 of the family's 1533-position model. The record is from RNAcentral.
AAUCAACGCUGGCGGCGUGCCUAACACAUGCAAGUCGAACGAGAAAGUGGAGCAAUCCAUGAGUAAAGUGGCGACCGGGUGAGUAACACGUGACUAACCUACCUCCGAGUGGGGAAUAACUCCGGGAAACCGGGGCUAAUACCGCAUAACAUCGCGAGAUCAAAGCAGCAAUGCGCUUGGAGAGGGGGUCGCGGCUGAUUAGCUAGUUGGCGGGGUAAUGGCCCACCAAGGCGAAGAUCGGUAUCCGGCCUGAGAGGGCGCACGGACACACUGGAACUGAAACACGGUCCAGACUCCUACGGGAGGCAGCAGUGGGGAAUUUUGCGCAAUGGGGGAAACCCUGACGCAGCAACGCCGCGUGGA